AGGACGAACGCUGGCGGCGUGCUUAACACAUGCAAGUCGAGCGGUAAGGCCCUUUCGGGGGUACACGAGCGGCGAACGGGUGAGUAACACGUGGGUGACCUGCCCUUAGCUCUGGGAUAAGCCUGGGAAACUGGGUCUAAUACCGGAUAUGACCUCGCGAUGCAUGUCGUGGGGUGGAAAGCCUUGUGCGGCUAGGGAUGGGCCCGCGGCCUAUCAGCUUGUUGGUGGGGUGAUGGCCUACCAAGGCGACGACGGGU
RNAcentral lists this ribosomal RNA (257 nucleotides) under uncultured bacterium. Its description in RNAcentral is "partial small subunit ribosomal RNA". It matches the Rfam family "Bacterial small subunit ribosomal RNA", at positions 26 to 284 of the family's 1533-position model. The record is from RNAcentral.